Molecule: non-coding RNA, 240 nt
Organism: Vicia faba (fava bean)
Lineage: Eukaryota; Viridiplantae; Streptophyta; Magnoliopsida; Fabales; Fabaceae
Source: the annotation of a GenBank genome assembly
AUGAAGAUUCAACAAAAAGGGAUGGGAAUGGUUUAUUCAACGAAUGGAGUAGUAGAGCUUGAGCGAGAAUACAUAAAAGAGAAAGAAAAUGGUUCCUUGAACUUCAUGCUUUGGUUUGCUGGUGGCUUAGCUUCAACAUUCAGCAACCAUAAUAAACCCACACGGUCCAAUACUCUCUCUGUCCAGCUUCAUUUCGAUACCGGUUUCCAAGAACUGUUUCAAGUGUUCGUUCUCGCAUAG